RNAcentral lists this ribosomal RNA (704 nucleotides) under uncultured bacterium. RNAcentral describes it as "bacterial SSU rRNA". It matches the Rfam family "Bacterial small subunit ribosomal RNA", at positions 45 to 756 of the family's 1533-position model. The record is from RNAcentral.
UGCUACCAUGCAAGUCGAGCGGAGAUUCUCGGCGUACUUGUACAAAGAGGAUCUUAGCGGCGGACGGGUGAGUAACACGUGAGCAAUCUGCCUUUUACUGGGGAAUAACACUGGGAAACCAGUGCUAAUACCGCAUGAUGUCUCUGAGUGGCAUCACUUGGAGACCAAAGGAGAAAUCCGGUAAAAGAUGAGCUCGCGUCCGAUUAGGUAGUUGGAGAGGUAAUGGCUCACCAAGCCUACGAUCGGUAGCCGGACUGAGAGGUUGAACGGCCACAUUGGGACUGAGACACGGCCCAGACUCCUACGGGAGGCAGCAGUGGGGAAUAUUGGGCAAUGGGGGAAACCCUGACCCAGCAACGCCGCGUGAAGGAUGAAGGCUUUCGGGUUGUAAACUUCUUUGAUCAGGGACGAAAAAAAUGACGGUACCUGAAGAACAAGCCACGGCUAACUACGUGCCAGCAGCCGCGGUAAUACGUAGGUGGCGAGCGUUAUCCGGAUUUACUGGGUGUAAAGGGCGUGUAGGCGGGUCUGCAAGUCGGAUGUGAAAUUCCCAGGCUUAACUUGGGCGGGUCAUCCGAAACUGCGGAUCUUGAGUACUGGAGAGGAUAGUGGAAUUCCUAGUGUAGCGGUAAAAUGCGUAGAUAUUAGGAGGAACACCAGUGGCGAAGGCGGCUAUCUGGACAGUAACUGACGCUGAGGCGCGA